UACGAACCGUGCGAACGUUGUUCGGAAUCACUGGGCUUAAAGGGCGCGUAGGCGGUUCAUCAAGUCAGGGGUGAAAUCUUUCGGCUCAACCGGAAAAGUGCCCCUGAUACUGAUGAUCUCGAGGGAGGUAGGGGUCCGCGGAACUUCUGGUGGAGCGGUGAAAUGCGUUGAUAUCAGAAGGAACGCCGGUGGCGAAAGCGGCGGACUGGAUCUCUUCUGACGCUGAGGCGCGAAAGCCAGGGGAGCAAACGGG
This 253-nucleotide ribosomal RNA is filed under the name uncultured bacterium. Its description in RNAcentral is "partial 16S ribosomal RNA". It matches the Rfam family "Bacterial small subunit ribosomal RNA", at positions 524 to 776 of the family's 1533-position model. The record is from RNAcentral.